CCUACGGGAGUCUGCAGUGGGGAAUAUUGCACAAUGGGGGAACCCUGAUGCAGCGACGCCGCGUGAGUGAAGAAGUAUUUCGGUACGUAAAGCUCUAUCAGCAGGGAAGAAAAAAAGUCCUUUGGACUUUGGACGGUACCUGACUAAGAAGCCCCGGCUAACUACGUGCCAGCAGCCGCGGUAAUACGUAGGGGGCAAGCGUUAUCCGGAUUUACUGGGUGUAAAGGGAGCGUAGACGGCAGCGCAAGUCUGGAGUGAAAUGCCGGGGCCCAACCCCGGAACUGCUUUGGAAACUGUGCAGCUGGAGUGCAGGAGAGGUAAGCGGAAUUCCUAGUGUAGCGGUGAAAUGCGUAGAUAUUAGGAGGAACACCAGUGGCGAAGGCGGCUUACUGGACUGUAACUGACGUUGAGGCUCGAAAGCGUGGGGAGCAAACAGGAUUAGAUACCCCAGUAGUC
This 456-nucleotide ribosomal RNA is filed under the name uncultured bacterium. RNAcentral's name for it is "partial 16S ribosomal RNA". It matches the Rfam family "Bacterial small subunit ribosomal RNA", at positions 338 to 795 of the family's 1533-position model. The record is from RNAcentral.